GGCUUCCCCCAACACACACAGGCUGGCAGUGCGGGGGAAUUAGCCUCAAAACAACCCUCAGCCGAUGACUGGUGGGGUGGGCUUUUAAAUACUCCUCUUCCUUGCCCCUCAGGGUGGGAAGCAUCUCUCCAUCCCUUCCACUUCCCUCAGGGGCCAAUGAAUGGAUGGGGUUUCCCAAAGCCACACCCACUCUUUCCUGGCCAGCCAACAACGGACUCCACUGUAGGUGUUGAAGGCAAAUCUACGCCGUUUCCCAGAAGUCUCUGCAGCACCAACCCUCAGCUGCCCACUGCUGUACGCUGCUCAUUAGCACACCCUUCGCGGGCUCCAGCCCUUCCUGUCUCACGUCUCCACUCUCGCCUCCACUCUACCACCUCCCAAAUAAACUGCUUGCCCUCCAAUUCUUGGCUCAGGGUCUGCUUCUGGGGGUCCCCAAUCUAAGACCCUUCCAUGACCCUUGAAACAAAGAUCCACUCAAGUUGUCCACACCCUCUCUCCUCUCUGUGUGCUUUAUUUUCUCAGCAGAAUUUUAUCACGAUGUGAGAUCAUUUUGUUUCUAAGUUAGUGUGUGUCUCUCUCGAUAAUCUAGGGGUUCCAUGAGGGCUGAGAGCCUCCCUGUCUUGUUUAUU
This 629-nucleotide long non-coding RNA is filed under the name Equus caballus (horse). Its description in RNAcentral is "lncRNA (ENSECAG00000058795.1)". Lineage: Eukaryota; Metazoa; Chordata; Mammalia; Perissodactyla; Equidae. The record is from RNAcentral.